GGGAAUGCGCAGCUACCAUGCAGUCGAACGGUAACAGGAAGCACCUGGCUGCUUCGCUCACGAGUGGCGGAGGGGUGAGUAGUGUCUGGGAAACUGCCUGAUGGAGGGGGAUCACUACUGGAAACUGUCUCUUAUACCGCAUAACCUCGCAAGACCAAAGAGGGGGACCUUCGGGCCUCUUGCCAUCAGAUGUGCCCAGAUGGGAUUAUCUAGUGUGUGGGGUAACGGCUCAUCUACGACACUAUCCCUAUCUGGUCUGAGAAGAAGACCACCCACUCUGGAACUGACACACGGUCCACACUCCUACGGGGGGCAGCUGUGGGGAAUAUUGCACAGUGGGCGCACCCCUGAUGCCCCCGUGCCGCGUGUAUAAAAAAGGCCUUCGGGUUGUAAAGUACUUUCCGCGGGGAAGAGGGUGAUGAGGUUAAUAACCUUGUCUAUUGACUUUCCCCGCAAAAAAAGCCCCGGCAAACUCCGUGCCACGCCCGGGGAUUAAAA
This 498-nucleotide ribosomal RNA is filed under the name Enterobacter hormaechei subsp. hormaechei. RNAcentral's name for it is "partial 16S ribosomal RNA". It matches the Rfam family "Bacterial small subunit ribosomal RNA", at positions 39 to 525 of the family's 1533-position model. The record is from RNAcentral. Lineage: Bacteria; Pseudomonadati; Pseudomonadota; Gammaproteobacteria; Enterobacterales; Enterobacteriaceae.